This 72-nucleotide transfer RNA is filed under the name Marisa cornuarietis. RNAcentral describes it as "tRNA-Lys". The record is from RNAcentral. Lineage: Eukaryota; Metazoa; Mollusca; Gastropoda; Architaenioglossa; Ampullariidae.
CCAUAAAUGACUGAGCUAGGUGCUAGAUUUUUAAUCUGGAGACGACAAGCAUUAUAAAGCUGUCUUUAUGGG